GACGAACGCUGGCGGCGUGCUUAACACAUGCAAGUCGAACGGAAAGGCCCGGCUUUUGUGGGGUGCUCGAGUGGCGAACGGGUGAGUAACACGUGAGUAACCUGCCCUUGACUUUGGGAUAACUUCAGGAAACUGGGGCGAAUACCGGAUAGGAUCUUCUGCUGCAUGGUGGGGGUUGGAAAGUGUCGGCGGUGGGGGAUGGACUCGCUGCUUAUCAGCUUGUUGGUGGGGUAGUGGCGUCCCAAGGGUUUGACGGGUAGCCUGCCUGAGAGGGUGCACGGCCACCUGGGGCCUGCGAUACGGCCCAGAAUCCUACCGGCCGCAGUAGUGGGGAGUAUUGCACAGUGGGCGGGAGCCUGAUGCAGAAGCGCUCCGUGCGGGAUGCUGGCCUUCGGGUUGUAAACAGAUUUCGAAUGUGACGAAGAGUGAGUGACGGUAAUGGGUCAAGAAGCACCGGCUAACUACGUG
This 468-nucleotide ribosomal RNA is filed under the name uncultured bacterium. RNAcentral's name for it is "partial 16S ribosomal RNA". It matches the Rfam family "Bacterial small subunit ribosomal RNA", at positions 28 to 507 of the family's 1533-position model. The record is from RNAcentral.